UGGGGAAUAUUGCGCAAUGGGCGAAAGCCUGACGCAGCGACGCCGUGUGAGGGAAGAAGGCUUUCGGGUCGUAAACCUCUGUCGGGAGGGAAGAACCCCCAGGAGUCGAACAGGCUCUUGGGCUGACGGUACCUCCGAAGGAAGCACCGGCUAACUCCGUGCCAGCAGCCGCGGUAAUACGGAGGGUGCGAGCGUUAAUCGGAAUCACUGGGCGUAAAGCGCACGUAGGCGGUGCCGUAAGUCGGAUGUGAAAGCCCUCGGCUCAACCGGGGGAACUGCAUUCGAUACUGCGGUGCUUGAGUGCCGGAGAGGGUGGCGGAAUUCCAGGUGUAGGAGUGAAAUCCGUAGAUAUCUGGAGGAACACCAGUGGCGAAGGCGGCCACCUGGCCGGCAACUGACGCUGAGGUGCGAAAGCGU
RNAcentral lists this ribosomal RNA (417 nucleotides) under uncultured bacterium. RNAcentral's name for it is "partial 16S ribosomal RNA". It matches the Rfam family "Bacterial small subunit ribosomal RNA", at positions 355 to 762 of the family's 1533-position model. The record is from RNAcentral.